UACGUAGGUGGCAAGCGUUGUCCGGAUUUACUGGGCGUAAAGAGCGCGCAGGCGGUCGUUCAAGUCGCGUGUGAAACCCCCCGGCUCAACUGGGGAGGGUCACGCGAUACUGAUCGACUCGAAGGCAGGAGAGGGAAGUGGAAUUCCCGGUGUAGUGGUGAAAUGCGUAGAUAUCGGGAGGAACACCAGUGGCGAAGGCGACUUCCUGGCCUGUUCUUGACGCUGAGGCGCGAAAGCUAGGGGAGCAAACGGG
Molecule: ribosomal RNA, 253 nt
Filed under: uncultured bacterium
Lineage: Bacteria
Description: partial 16S ribosomal RNA
Rfam family: Bacterial small subunit ribosomal RNA
Source: RNAcentral